GUACACUCCUACGGGAGGCAGCAGUGGGGAAUAUUGAACAAUGGGCGCAAGCCUGAUCCAGCCAUGCCGCGUGAGUGAUGAAGGCCCUAGGGUUGUAAAGCUCUUUCACCGGUGAAGAUAAUGACGGUAACCGGAGAAGAAGCCCCGGCUAACUUCGUGCCAGCAGCCGCGGUAAUACGAAGGGGGCUAGCGUUGUUCGGAUUUACUGGGCGUAAAGCGCACGUAGGCGGACUAUUAAGUCAGGGGUGAAAUCCCGGGGCUCAACCCCGGAACUGCCUUUGAUACUGGUAGUCUUGAGUUCGAGAGAGGUGAGUGGAAUUCCGAGUGUAGAGGUGAAAUUCGUAGAUAUUCGGAGGAACACCAGUGGCGAAGGCGGCUCACUGGCUCGAUACUGACGCUGAGGUGCGAAAGCGUGGGGAGCAAACAGGAUUAGAUACCCCAGUAGUCCCAUG
RNAcentral lists this ribosomal RNA (452 nucleotides) under uncultured organism. Its description in RNAcentral is "partial 16S ribosomal RNA". It matches the Rfam family "Bacterial small subunit ribosomal RNA", at positions 331 to 799 of the family's 1533-position model. The record is from RNAcentral.